AACGCACAUUGCGCCCCCUCUAACAGGGGGGCAUGCCUGUCUGAGCGUCGCUUGAUAUCCAUAAGCCAUCGUCGGCUUGUCUUGGGCCUUGCUGUAUCGGCAUCGCCUCAAAGAGAUCAGUCUCUUGAGCGGACAGGAUCCUGUAGGGCUGACCGUUCCUGGACUCUAAAAAUUUAUCUCGACUCGACCUCAGAUCAGGCAGGACUACCGCCUGAACUUAA
This 221-nucleotide unclassified non-coding RNA is filed under the name uncultured fungus. Its description in RNAcentral is "partial contains 5.8S ribosomal RNA, internal transcribed spacer 2, and large subunit ribosomal RNA". The record is from RNAcentral. Lineage: Eukaryota; Fungi.